AGCCACACUCGGGCUCUUUGGAUCCGACUUUAUCCUUUAUGGGGUCUGCGCUUCCUGAUUGAUCCCUGUGGGGACAGUGGAGCUAUUUACUGAGCUGGUCAUGUCGUAAUCCCCUGAUGAAGCCAAGGGUUUGGCGAAACUAGUCGGAAGGACCUGACCGUUUGUACAUAUGACACUUUGCUCCCAUGUUUACAAUGUACUGUUCAAGUCAUUAAAUAGACUUGUAAUAUUUUUCUGUAACUUCAAUAAAAUUAUUUAUUUUUGUAUU
This is a long non-coding RNA of Rana temporaria (common frog), 268 nucleotides long. RefSeq lists it as uncharacterized. The transcript has 2 exons. The record is from RefSeq and is a predicted model, not a curated record. NCBI's taxonomy places the organism in Eukaryota, Metazoa, Chordata, Amphibia, Anura, Ranidae.